RNAcentral lists this ribosomal RNA (497 nucleotides) under uncultured bacterium. Its description in RNAcentral is "partial 16S ribosomal RNA". It matches the Rfam family "Bacterial small subunit ribosomal RNA", at positions 28 to 507 of the family's 1533-position model. The record is from RNAcentral.
GAUGAACGCUGGCGGCGUGCCUAAUACAUGCAAGUCGAGCGAACAGAUGAGGAGCUUGCUCCUCUGACGUUAGCGGCGGACGGGUGAGUAACACGUGGAUAACCUACCUAUAAGACUGGGAUAACUUCGGGAAACCGGAGCUAAUACCGGAUAAUAUAUUGAACCGCAUGGUUCAAUAGUGAAAGACGGUUUUGCUGUCACUUAUAGAUGGAUCCGCGCCGCAUUAGCUAGUUGGUAAGGUAACGGCUUACCAAGGCAACGAUGCGUAGCCGACCUGAGAGGGUGAUCGGCCACACUGGAACUGAGACACGGUCCAGACUCCUACGGGAGGCAGCAGUAGGGAAUCUUCCGCAAUGGGCGAAAGCUUGACGGAGCAACGCCGCGUGAGUGAUGAAGGUCUUCGGAUCGUAAAACUCUGUUAUUAGGGAAGAACAAAUGUGUAAGUAACUAUGCACGUCCUGACGGUACCUAAUCAGAAAGCCACGGCUAACUACGUG